This 1098-nucleotide long non-coding RNA is filed under the name Sarcophilus harrisii (Tasmanian devil). RNAcentral describes it as "lncRNA (ENSSHAG00000028286.1)". The record is from RNAcentral. Lineage: Eukaryota; Metazoa; Chordata; Mammalia; Dasyuromorphia; Dasyuridae.
UAAGGCAUCUGCGCUCGGAGCUCCCUGGAUUUCCGGCCGCAGACUCGGUGGGAGGAGCCCCGGAUUACAGCGCCCCCUCCGGGCAAGGGCUGCUGGGGCUUUCCCUCCUCUCCGGCUGUGCCAUAGGUGUCGGGCCUUCGCCGACCCUGGGGGCCCCGCGCUGAGCCAGAGAGGCCUGGAGAGACUUACAUGAACUGAUGCUGAGUGAAAUGAGCAGGACCAGGAGAUCAUUAUAUGCUUCAACAACAAUACUAUAUGAUGACCAGUUCUGAUGGACCUGGCCAUCCUCAGCAGCAAGAUCAACCAAAUCAUUUCCAAUGGAGCAGUAAUGAACUGAAUAAUCAUGCCCUAGAGAAAGAACUCUGGGAGAUGACUAAAAACCAUUACAUUAAAUUCCCAAUCCCUAUAUUUUUGCCCACCUGCAUUUUUGAUUUCCUUCACAAGCUAAUUGUACAAUAUUUCAGAGUCCGAUUCUUUUUGUACAGCAAAAUAAUGUUUUGGUCAUGUAUACUUAUUGUGUAUCUAAGUUUAUUUUAAUAUAUUUAACAUCUACUGGUCAUCCUGCCAUCUGGGGGAGGGGGUGGGGGGUAAGAGGUGAAAAAUUGGAACACGAGGUUUGGCAAUUGUUAAUGCUGUAAAGUUACCCAUGCAUAUAACCUGUAAAUAAAAGGCUAUUAAAUAAAAAAAAUAUUUCUUAAUCAUUCUGCUCAAUCCUGCAACACUAACCCUCCCUCCUAAACAUCAUGAUACAGAUUAGAAGAAAGGCCUAUCUUAGAAAUCAUGAGCCCAGACCUUCCCUACUUAUCAGAAUGUUGGGUGCCUCUCCCCAUUCUGUCAUUGUUCUUCUUGAUCCCAAUUUAUCAGAAUGUCUGGUGCCCCCGCAGAGACACCCUGUCAGAACUAGAUGGAUAGUCCCUUCCCGCUCUCAUUUCCCUAACUCCGCCCCUGCCUCAGUCUACCCCCUGGUAGAGCCAUGUGCAUAUAUAUAUAUAUAUAUAUCAUUGAGAACUCACACUGUUUACUGGAUUCUUGGAGACCAUAGUCUCAUUCAGCCCUGGGGCCAAACCAUGGAUCCAUUUGGGUCCCGGUAAAUCUCUC